UAACUUUCAAACCGUAAACCUAAACCGUGAUCCGCUCUUUCCUGUGGUUUCGUAUGACUGUUGUUGAUACUCCCACCAAAUUUUUUAAUUUUCUGUGUUGAUUUGCCACUCCGUUUAUGCUCUGAAUCAAGACAGACGAAGAACAAAUUUUUUGGGUUGAUUUGCCACUCCUGCACUAUUCCUCCCUGUAACCAAAUAAGUUUAACAUUAUACACUCAUUUCAUUGAAAUCAAACAAGAUAAUCUAAACUAAAACAUAAACAUAAAAGUUGGUUACCAAGAACUCCACACUAUGAACCCCACCAUUGGAGGAGGAAAAAAAUAAAGACUCCUAAUAAGGUUCUUAGCUUGUAA
RNAcentral lists this long non-coding RNA (353 nucleotides) under Arabidopsis lyrata. Its description in RNAcentral is "long non-coding RNA (ALYR_LNC001484)". Lineage: Eukaryota; Viridiplantae; Streptophyta; Magnoliopsida; Brassicales; Brassicaceae. The record is from RNAcentral.